CAUGGCCUGGGGUCAGUUCCGUUCAGCCUGGAGUUGCUGCUUUUUUCCUGAGUUUCUGUGGGGCCACACUCUCCUGCUGCCCCUGGGUAGCUCCUGGCUCGUCCUUGGCUGUGCUGUAAACCACCAAUGGAUACCAUUACCAUCAGCCCUCCAUGUUCAGUACUGCAGAUUGCCGAUCUGGUUUCCUCCAGGAAGAUGAUGAGGUUGUUGCUACCUGGAUGCAGGUGCAACGAGGAGCUGCUCUGGGCACAGCAAAUCUUCGCACUCCAGCACCCUGCUCGGCGUCUGCAUCUUGGUAUCAUCCAGAAGGAGUGACAGAAUAAUAAUUCUCAUCUCAUGUUAAGAGGCAACAGGAAUACAAAUCACGGCUGGCAUCUCCUUCUGAUGGCUGCACUGGGCACUGAGACUUGAGGUUGCCUCCAAACUGUUGUUGCUGCUGGGGAUGAAACCUCACACUGGACUGAGGAUCUCCACUUAUGUCUGUUGUCUGGGCCCUUCCUGGCAGCUCAGCAGAAGACAAAAGGGGCCAGGAUGGGUUGUCCUGCAGGAAAAACAAAAUCUUUCCAACAACCUUCUUAGUGUUAGAGAGUCAAGGCAUUGCUUUAUUCUGGCCAGGAUGUGCAACAGAAACAAUUUCAUUCGCACAUUGUCCAGGUUGUGCAGAGAAAAUAAUUCCAUCACGCAUGACUCUUUACUAGAUUUUUCAUAUACUUAUGCAAUCAAAACCCAGAAAAAGUCAUUGGUUCAAUGUUCAUUGGCCCCAGGUUAUGCAGUUCUUAGUAUUUGGUUUCCUAUUGGUUAUUGACCCCUUUGCCUUCUGUGUUAAUGUCUCAUUCUUCCUUCUCUUAUCUAUCUUUUCCCCAGCCAGGUGUCUCCAACCAUGCCAGGGGUGAUGUUUAGAGUUGAUGUUCAUUAAUAAUCAUUAUCUUUUUUGUAUCUUCUGUAUUACUUCCAGUCUGUUGAGAUGUUAAGCUCAUCAGGCCUUGAAUGGUGAAACAGCCCUUUGAAAAGAAGCUUCAAUUCCUUUCCCCCGGGCAAAGGUGAACAAAGUCCCUGACUAAAGUUAUAUAAAUUGAUUUCAAACUUUGUAUAAUUUCCAACACCAUGUGUGGACCUCUCUGAACUUGAUUACUGGGAUUUUUGGUUGGAUGAAAUCUUCCUCUGUAGCUUAACAAACCUAAGGUUUGCCUCAUCUCUAACAAAUUUUAGAUAUACUUAGAUCCUUUAUGACUUUUCAUGUUUGAGGGUUUUGUGGCAAUUUCCUUCCAUCUGAGUUUAUAUCCAGCAUAAAUAUGUCAGCAUGCCUCAUGCAGAGCUCAGCCUGGCGAGAUUGGCAAUUCACUUCUUGUAGAUCCUUUUACUGAGCAACCUGUUGCAGGUGUCUCAGGCAAUUUAAAGCCCAAUUUCCUAAGGAUUCCUUGAACUUUUGAUUCAAAGUCAUUAUUUUGCACUUCCAACAGCACCAUACACAUCCUGAGCUAAGUGUAGCCUGUGUCUGUGUGUGCUGACCUGCUGCAAGGCCCAGGGAGGUUGCAGACCUCUCUGCUUGCUUUCUGCAGCCAAAAUGUUUUCAGUGGUUGAAGGAGCAAAAUCUCCUAGAAAAUGCACUAUUAUUAAGCUGCAAGGAGGUGCCUUCAGAAAGGAGAAAAGGCAGAUUUUGGGUUACUGCCAUCCCUUCAAAGGGAGGGAUUUCAAGCCUGUUGUCCCCAAUGUGUUAGAGGACUCCAAAAUGUGCACUGGAGCUGCAGUGUGGAGCUCUCCCAAGCCUGAGCAAUUGCCCUUAGGAAGAAACCCCAUAGAGAAGCAGAGACUGUGGGAAUCAGGUCAGCCUGAUGAGCAGCAAAAGCCUGUCCAGGGAUACAAACAGCCAUAUGGGACAGGCUGGCUGAGCCCUCUGGCUAUACAGACUUCAUUGCUUAUCAGCACUGGUGAACCCUGCCCUGGACUUCAACCAGGACUGGAUGUCAACCAGAACAAAUCCAUAGCUGGAAAGUGACAGAUCCUGAGCUGGGGAGCUCAGGAGCAGCAAUGUAAGGAGGGAGGCAGGAAUGUAAUUACAAGUCUGCAGGAGGCAGGGAAAGUGCCAGCUGGAUGCAGGGGGUCUUUCAUUGGAACAACAGUAAGUUCUCCUCCCUAUAACCAAGGAUGCUGAAAUGAAUUGUGCAUCUCUUUUGGUUAGAAGGACCAAAACAGUGCCCUGGCCGAUGUUUGACAUGAAUAACUGAGGAUUACAUGAAAUUUGAAAAUGCUUUGGGCAGCAGGCUAUUUUGGAAACUGAGAUUUUGACAAAGAGUGCGUGCAGAUUAGAGGUAAAAUCAGAUAGAACCAUGGCAUGGGCUUUCACUGGUCCGUAAAUUCUGGCCCCUGGCAUGACAGAGAUCCACUAUGGAGUAAGGGGCCCCAGCUGAGUUUAUGGCAGGGGUUUUGUAUUGCCUGGGGUAUGUGGCUCUUCUACUACACAUUUCAGAAUCCUCUCUCUUUGAGGGUAAGAUUGCCAGUAAUAUAUGUUGGAGGUAGUAAACAGUUGUUAGACAAAUUGCUCUGGGAUUUUAUGGUGAUGUGAGACUUCUCUCAAAGAACAUAAACUGGGACUAAUUUUCUCUGGUGAGGAGUGGGGUCAGUCUCAACAGAUGCUCAAGGCUUGACACUUAUUUGGGAAAUGCAUCCUUUGAUUUUUGGCUGCUAGCUACUUAUAGGGGAAAGUAUAAUGUUAAAAACUGCCACAGGGAAAGAAUAUUCCAGCCCAAAUGAAAAUGUAGUAACUCAGAGCUAGAGAUGCCUGCUGAGUGACUUUUUUUUACCAAGAAGGUAACAUUUGCUGUUGGCUUGCUGUUUUGAACAGACAAAAACAGCCAUACUUUGCUAGAUAGGGUAUUUAGUAGCAGAACCUCAAUAAAGAUGCUGCUAACUUAGGGAAGAUCUUGUAUUAUUCUGUGGAGUAGGAAAUAUUACAUGAGAAGCAUAAGAAGACAAGUGUUGGCCAGACUCUGCUGUGGUGGUGCUGGGAAACCUGAAGGUCCCAUCUCUGUGCUGCUCCAGGAGCACAGCAUGGAACAUCCUACCUAACCAGGAGUGUGCAUCCAUGGUCAGCAAGUUGUGUUUGGGUUGACCCUUCUGUUUGUUUUAAACAAGAGUCUGCACUACAACAAAUUGCUUCCAGAGGUGGAGCAUCUUAAGAGCUAUAGGAUAAUGAUAGUAUGCACAUUUGUGUGUGUGGGUGUGAAUUUGCACAAUUUGCUUCUUUUCCAUCCAGGGUAAAGGAUAUUAACAGCUCUAGGGAGGGAGCUGUUUCUUUUAACCUGUCAGUGGCUAUUUGCUUCUGCUACCCACCAGAAGCAGACCUGGGAUAGGAUGUGACAGACCGUCUGUUUAGUCUUCUCUUGCCACAUUUCUUUGGCUCCAUUCAUGUGUGUGCAGGCAGCUGUCUGCAAACAGUGUGGUUGCCGUCCCCAGUGCCUCCUGUAAACCACUGCUGCUGUGCCACAGCUCCCAGUACCACAUUGGCUGCCACUUUCUUGGCUGUCUCACUUCACCAGCCCUGAUAACACUCUUCUUUCACCCCAAGGCAGAGUGGGAGCACAGCAGACCACCAGUAUUCCAGCCACGGAUCCGUGGCUGUGGCUGUUGGCACUGGUGUGUGCCUGGCCAGGGUCUCUCUCUUACCCUGCCUGCAUUGCUUAGGGAUACAGGAAGCUUUGAGGGGCAGGAUCUUCUUCUUCUUCUUCUCCUCUGGCAACACAGCACCUACAGUGUUGUUACAGUUCCUGAGAACUGUAACAAGGAAUGUCAUAAUGAACCAGGGAUACAGAGCAUUAAAAAGAAAAGCAUCCUCCUGGCAUCUAACCUUCUCUGGUAGCUCUCAGGGACUGCUUGGUGUGAGAGAAGUCUGUUCCAUGACAGAGUACUAGUGGGAUAGAUCCCAGUUCUGUUUCCUCCCCUUUUUUUACUGUCAGAAGAAUUCACUGAAUUAGCUCAAACUCAGGGUAUUUUUCUCAAGCAUUUUACAGGGAAUUAGUAAUACUCACAGGCUGUAUUCCUAGAGAAAGACCAUACAAUAAUCUACAAAUUCAUGGCCUGAGACGAUGCUUGUAAAUAAAUCACAGAGGAAGAACUGAGUCUCCUUUAAAAAGUGCUCCCAGUGUGUUGCACUGAUAAUUAUUGUGAUUAUAAGGGAAGCAGUUACAGACAAAAGGCUGGGAAAGAGGUUAAUUGAGAUGGUUCACUCUAGUCUAAUCGUAUAGAGCACAAAGUAAUAUAAUUGAAUACAGAGUCUCCACAAGCAGCUGUGCUGUAUAAGUUUUGAUGUCUCUAAAAAAAAACAUUAUAGAAGUUUUCUAAUGUCACAUAGGAAACCAUACAGGGAAACUUAGACAAGAAAUUAUUAGAUUACAGGCUUUGAUAGCAGAUGUGUAGUAGAAAACAGAAUAUCUAGUCCAGUCUGGUUUUAAAACAAAUUUAUUUGGGGUCUGUAAUUCUUUUGUUUCAAGGGUAUUUAAUGUAAUCAAAAUAAUAAAUGUGUGCAUCUUUCUGGUUGCAGAGGCAUCUUAGGUGACCAAAAUAGUGAAUACAGCUUCCCAGGCUCACCUGUCUGUCUAGCUGUGGGCAAACUUUCAUGUGUAUCAGGAUUCAGCUGUUGGAUGUUCUGUAAUUAUCUACUUUUUCACAAUAAGUUAAAGUUAAUUAAUUCAAAUUUUCAUCAACUCUUCUGUGCUGUAAUAGACCAAGUCAUAUUGAAAUAAAAUGAACUUUUGAGGACAGCUGUCAUGGUCUGUUUGGGUAUUUCAGAUUCACAGAGCAAUGUACUCUGUAAAUAAAGCUUUAUUUUAUAAGCUCAUUGAGAAAGAAAGGAAGAAACACAACCAACAAGGGCUCAAUUGCCUUUGCACAGAGUAGUCUGCCAUGUGAAUUCACUAAUUCAUCACGUAAGUUGUGAGGUUUCUAAUUCACAA
This is a long non-coding RNA of Passer domesticus (house sparrow), 4949 nucleotides long. RefSeq lists it as uncharacterized. The transcript has 4 exons. Lineage: Eukaryota; Metazoa; Chordata; Aves; Passeriformes; Passeridae. The record is from RefSeq and is a predicted model, not a curated record.